This 489-nucleotide long non-coding RNA is filed under the name Phoenix dactylifera (date palm). RNAcentral describes it as "long non-coding RNA (PDAC_LNC011066)". Lineage: Eukaryota; Viridiplantae; Streptophyta; Magnoliopsida; Arecales; Arecaceae. The record is from RNAcentral.
CAUUUUAUCAUUUGUUUGUUAAUUGCUAGAGACUAGCAAUAAGCUAGUUGGGGGGUGUGAUGAGAGCACAAAAGUGCGACCUACAUGUCACCAAAAUUAGUGUUUUUGCUAACCGAUAAUAAUAAAUUCACUUAAAUAAUAUUAUAUUUGGGUUUGACACAGGUUAGUAUAAAUUAAAGUUUAAAUGCGCAUUUGGUAGGGUUUAGCGGGAUGCAUCAUAGCCCCAAACCGCGCGGGCCCAAUCCUGUCAUGAUAUGAUCAAGCACAUUUGCACCCAAACAUCCGAACCCGCGUGCGAUCUCCCAGUGAUACUCGCGUUCCCUUCUUUCCGGAUUAGCAUCCGCACUCUUCCGAAAUAGAGAUUCCCACUCUCACUUCAUCACAAAGAAAAAGAACUUUUUAAUCUCCAAUCCCAUGAAGAAUAGCUAAAAAUAAUAUUCAUUCCUGAAAUUACUAUUCAUGCUGAAAUCACUGUUCAUAUGAACAGUG